This 3956-nucleotide unclassified non-coding RNA is filed under the name Hevea brasiliensis (rubber tree). Lineage: Eukaryota; Viridiplantae; Streptophyta; Magnoliopsida; Malpighiales; Euphorbiaceae. The record is from RNAcentral.
AGGAGCAGUACUUGGACUUAUGAUAGACUAGAGACCCAGAGUGCCUGAAAACAAAGACAAAGAGGAGCAAACAACCACUAUAGAGUUCAGUCUCCAACCCCUGCUUGUUUCUCCUCAAAACCCUACUUUUUGGGCUUUAUCAUAAACCUAUAAUACAGAAGGAAUAGUAAACCACAGCCUCAUUGUCUCUCCUCUUUCUGUCUCUUUCUUUCUUCAAAAACCAGAUCCCCAUGGAUACUUAUGAAGCAACAAACGUACUCUUGUCAAAGAUCAAGAAUAUUGACCCUGCAAACGCCUCCAAAAUCAUGGGUUACAUCCUCAUACAAGACCUUACUGACAAUGAUUUGUUAUCUUUAGCUCUUGGCUCCGAAACCCUUUUGCAAAACGUUAUUAUCAAAGCCAAAACCCACUUAGGACUUUUUACGAACGCCUUAUCCACAUAUUCUGAGCGAUCCUCUCCUUCGCUGUUCAAUCCUGUAUCAAAACCUAAGAACAAUCAUGACACUUCCUUACAAUCUUCUGCUAAAGCUAAUCCUUUUUUGGGUUUUGCAAAAAACCCAUUUCCACAUUCAUGGCCUGCUUCUGGCUUGACAAACAACAGUACCGCUGCAUCUAUUGGCCCAAAGUCAAGCCCUUUUCUGUCUUACGAUAAUAUACGUGCUGGUUCUGCUGUGAUGCCUCAAUUUUCUAACAAUUGUGUUAAUGGCAGUGGUGGUGACGCGAGCAGUAACAGUACUGAUUUACUUAAUGAGUAUCAAAUAGAUGAAUAUUUUCCUUUUCUUGACGAGCUCUCUCCAAAAAAUGAUGAAUCAGUGGACCCAAGGAUACAAUUGGGUGGUUUUAAUGUGAAUAAUGUGGAAAGCCAUUUCCAUAGGAGGAGAUUCUCUGAAAGUGAUGCGUGUAUUGGUAUUGAAGAUGUGAGUUUUGGAAUUGGCAAUAGACCAUGUAUGUACUUUGCUAGAGGAUUCUGCAAGAAUGGGGACAAUUGCAAGUUUAUUCAUGGUGGUUUUGAUGGUGAUAAUAUUUCUGAGGUUAGUGGCAGUGGUGUCAUUGGUGGUUCAGUGAGAGAAAUAGAUGGUCUUUAUCUUCAACAACAUGAAGACUUGAUGAGAAUCAAGUCUGCACAACAGCAGCAAAGAUUGGCUUACAACAAGUGCAUGAAUUUUCUGUUGCAGCAAGAGAGUGAGCCCCAAAGAAUGAGGGCAGCAUCAGCGAUGAUGGGUGAUGAAUUUCACAAGUUUGGCCAGUUCCAUUCUGAAAGGAAUGACCUUUUGGUAAUGGCAAUGGAAGAAAAGGCAAACUCAGCUUCUAGGCAGAUAUACUUGACAUUCCCAGCUGACAGCACUUUCAAAGAUGAAGAUGUGUCAAAUUAUUUUAGCACUUUUGGACCAGUUCAAGAUGUCAGGAUUCCAUAUCAGCAGAAGCGAAUGUUUGGAUUUGUUACAUUUGUCCACCCAGAGACUGUGAAGCUUAUAUUAUCUAGGGGGAACCCUCAUUUUAUUUGUGAUUCACGCGUGCUUGUUAAGCCAUACAAGGAAAAAGGGAAAAUUGCAAACAACAGGAGGCAACAGCAUCUACAGCAACAUCUAAUGGAUAAGGGGGAUUUUUCACCCUUUUCUAGCCCUUCUGGGCUUGACCCUAGAGAGCUAUAUGAUCUUCACAUUGGAGCAAGAAUGCUCUACAAUUCACAGGGGAUGAUGGUGAGAAGAAAGCUGGAGCAGCAGGCUGAGCUUCAACAAACAAUUGAACUCCAGGGGAGAAGGUUGAUUAAUCUGCAACUCCCAGACUUGAGGGGAGAUUAUGUUCAUCAUCACCGGCGAAGUCUGUCUGCUGGGACACCAAUUUCCGUGCCCCCUCAUACUUCUGUUGAUAUCAAUCAAAAUCUUACUUCUGAAGUCGAGAAUCAAGAUAUCUUAGAAGAUCGGCUAAUCAAUGGCAAAUGUGAUAGCUCAGCUGCCACCAUUGCCUCUACUUUUGCUGUUGCUGAACAGAACCUUCAGCAACAAGUAAAUACAACUUGCAUUCAGAGCAAAGACACCGUCAAUGGUGAGGAAGAGAAAAUCUAUCCUGAAGGAUGUGAUGCGAAUGAAUGAACUUAAAGAAAGCACCAAGUUCUCUGGGACUUCGUCUUCUGAAAUUAGUGCAUCAAUGCCCAUGAAUUCUACAAGUGAUGUGGCUUCUCAUUGAUGAUGUGAAAUGCUAAGGUGCAUCCUUGCCUUAAUAUGCUAUUUUUCUAUAAUUCUACCCUCCUACACAUUCACUCGUAAGGUUGGUGAUUCUGAUUCAUUGCCACUUUGUUUCCGAUAAUUUUUUUUUUCUUUUUGCUGGACAUGAAGGUAUUCAUGUAAGUAAUAAAGAUUCGCAUGACCAAACAGAUCAACCUUGCUAGGAAAAAUACAGCACAUACGAAGGUGGUCCUGUAGAUGUAUAGCAAAAUUAUACCUGCAUCAAAUGGUAGAUCUGUAGAGAAUAUCUCAGCAAGAUUUCAUCAUCAUGAUCAUCAAUACAAUACUACCAACAGCAAAAGCAUAUUACAUACAUAAUGGACAGGUGAACUAAUUUGAGUGGGGUUUUCUCUUUGUUGCUUUUUGCUCUUUUGUAGGUUGUUUUGGACCACAGACUGAAAUAAAACUGAAGAAUAUGACUCUUGUUACAAUGUCAAGUGUACAUCUUUGCAAUAUUUACCAUCGCUCUCUUAUAAGAUAUCUUGUUACACUUAUUAGAAGUCAAGCAUGUGCAAACGAGAUUUUGUACAGUUGUGUUAGCAGGAUUAAUUAUCCACUUUGAAUCUCCAACAGGCAGAGUAAAAAAGUUAAAGAGUGGGUGGGGGUGGUGUUGAAUGGGCUAUUCUUUUAUAUGAUUAAGGCAUACUUUUUGUGGGACUCUUUUGUCUCAUUUUAAUUUUUUAGGUUCACAUGUUGGGAAGGGCCACUCUUAUCACAUGGGUGCUGACACUAUAUAAAGAUGGUACCAGGGUAUCACACUGCUUUCCAUCUCAGCAUAUUGAAAUGUAUUUUUGUGCAUCUUCGAUAUAUUGAUGCUACAUCACUGUUUUCUGUUCUGUUUUCAAUUUAUGAUAGUUCCGAAUGUGCUGCAUAUGAUGCUGGAAGCACUUCUGUUCUUUGAACUUCUGAUGUUUCUUGAGUUUGGCAUUAUCUUUGUACGUGCAAAUAAUUAUGUAUUGUUUUUUUAACUGCAUUUAACCUUAGUUUUUUCCAAUUAGUCUGAUUUGUAACAUCAGAGUAUCAACCUAAUUAAUUAUCCAUGAUUGCAUAUCUGUCUCCACUAAUCCCAGUCCUUUUCCCUAAUAAGAUAAGAUCAUUCUUGGAUUUUAUCUUUCAUGUAGAGAAGCACAUGGACCACAAUGGUUGACACUGGACUGAUCUACGCCAUUGUUAUAAUUUUUUACACAGAUAUCUUGUCUUUUUUAUAAUGCAUCGACUCUUCUGCGCUUGAGAUAUCACAUGAAGCAAAGCAGUUACAAAGCAAUAAAGCUGAGAGCUAGAAUUCAGCUAAAAGUUACUGAGCUGGAAUUUACUUUAUUCUAAAAAUAUAGUUUGUUAGAAAUAUUUAGCACAUGUAGCUUGUGUCAUAUUGCAGUUACAGUUAGUUUUCUUCCCGCUUAUUUUCUAGCUGAUGUAUAAAAACAUAUCUUUGAGCCUUCUAUCGAGGAGAAUGAAUUACAAUUUCAUUUCCAGAAACUUGUUAGUUGUGAGAUGUCUAACUGCCAAGGCUUCUUAUGCCCAAGUUCCAUGAACAUCAAAUUUAUAGAACAAAGUCACUGGAUAAUAUGUAUAGAAUUAAAAAGUUUAAUUAAUUUCUUUCUUUUCCGUCGGCCCAAAAUUGUCUUAUUUGUUGAUGCGUAGAUCAUUACAUUUUUCACAUCAUAAGCAUCCAAUUUUAGCAAGUAGUUUCUUUAAAAUACUAAGCUUAACAUUCCUAAAAGGUGAAACUUU